This 868-nucleotide ribosomal RNA is filed under the name Bacillus sp. MZ039H. RNAcentral's name for it is "bacterial SSU rRNA". It matches the Rfam family "Bacterial small subunit ribosomal RNA", at positions 84 to 963 of the family's 1533-position model. The record is from RNAcentral. Lineage: Bacteria; Bacillati; Bacillota; Bacilli; Caryophanales; Bacillaceae.
UGGGUGGAUCAGUGGCGAACGGGUGAGUAACACGUGAGCAACCUGCCCCUGACUCUGGGAUAAGCGCUGGAAACGGCGUCUAAUACUGGAUACGAGUAGCGACCGCAUGGUCAGUUACUGGAAAGAUUUAUUGGUUGGGGAUGGGCUCGCGGCCUAUCAGCUUGUUGGUGAGGUAAUGGCUCACCAAGGCGUCGACGGGUAGCCGGCCUGAGAGGGUGACCGGCCACACUGGGACUGAGACACGGCCCAGACUCCUACGGGAGGCAGCAGUGGGGAAUAUUGCACAAUGGGCGCAAGCCUGAUGCAGCAACGCCGCGUGAGGGAUGACGGCCUUCGGGUUGUAAACCUCUUUUAGCAGGGAAGAAGCGAAAGUGACGGUACCUGCAGAAAAAGCGCCGGCUAACUACGUGCCAGCAGCCGCGGUAAUACGUAGGGCGCAAGCGUUAUCCGGAAUUAUUGGGCGUAAAGAGCUCGUAGGCGGUUUGUCGCGUCUGCUGUGAAAUCCGGAGGCUCAACCUCCGGCCUGCAGUGGGUACGGGCAGACUAGAGUGCGGUAGGGGAGAUUGGAAUUCCUGGUGUAGCGGUGGAAUGCGCAGAUAUCAGGAGGAACACCGAUGGCGAAGGCAGAUCUCUGGGCCGUAACUGACGCUGAGGAGCGAAAGGGUGGGGAGCAAACAGGCUUAGAUACCCUGGUAGUCCACCCCGUAAACGUUGGGAACUAGUUGUGGGGUCCAUUCCACGGAUUCCGUGACGCAGCUAACGCAUUAAGUUCCCCGCCUGGGGAGUACGGCCGCAAGGCUAAAACUCAAAGGAAUUGACGGGGACCCGCACAAGCGGCGGAGCAUGCGGAUUAAUUCGAUGCAACGCG